This 444-nucleotide non-coding RNA is filed under the name Pan troglodytes (chimpanzee). The record is from RNAcentral. Lineage: Eukaryota; Metazoa; Chordata; Mammalia; Primates; Hominidae.
CAAUUUACAGCCCUCUUUACCACUAAUUAAGAGUGUCAAACUGACAAUACCGAAUACCAUAAUUAGCAUGACAAUGUUUAAAGGUGGUAGCUGUUGAGUUAUAUAUUCAAAUAACACCCAAUGAAGAAUGUAAUUGAUAAUCUUUACCUCUUUAGGGAGCAAUGAAAUGAAGUCUCGUUGAAACUGGGGUUCUAUCACUUGCAUCAUAUGUUUUACUUGUGUUGGUUCACAACUAUCAAUGAGUUCAUCUAAAGCAAGCAAUUUCUCUGGUCCACUCCAGCUCUAUCAAAGAGAAUUAGAAAUUUUUAUUGUUUUAACAGAUGUCCCAAAUUACAGGCUUAUAAAGGAAAACUCAUAUCUACACACAACCAUAGUUGAACAGGGUAGAACUGUAUAAAAAGUGGCUCCUUAUAGUGACAUUUUUUCCACAAGGCAUUGAAGAAG